AGGGUCUCUGGUUAUGGUGGGUGGUUUCUCUUGAGGCUCUCUCUUCAUGACCCUGUUCUUCCUCUCAACGUUGAGGCACCUGGUGAGGAGGCUGCUGCGAAGUUGGGGCUCGCUGUGCUAGCCGCUGUCAGUGAGUUCAGAGCUCUGGAUAAUUCUGCCCUAGUUAGAUUGGUUCACAAGCCAUGAGAUCAAUUUUCAACGACUAGGCACU
Molecule: unclassified non-coding RNA, 211 nt
Filed under: Hevea brasiliensis (rubber tree)
Lineage: Eukaryota; Viridiplantae; Streptophyta; Magnoliopsida; Malpighiales; Euphorbiaceae
Source: RNAcentral